CCUACGGGGGGCUGCAGUGGGGAAUAUUGGACAAUGGGGGCAACCAUGAUCCAGCCAUGCCGCGUGUGUGAAGAAGGCCCUCGGGUUGUAAAGCACUUUCAGUGAGGAAGAACGCCUGGUGGUUAAUACCCAUCAGGAAAGACAUCACUCACAGAAGAAGCACCGGCUAACUCCGUGCCAGCAGCCGCGGUAAUACGGAGGGUGCGAGCGUUAAUCGGAAUUACUGGGCGUAAAGCGCGCGUAGGUGGCUUGAUAAGCCGGUUGUGAAAGCCCCGGGCUCAACCUGGGAACGGCAUCCGGAACUGUCAAGCUAGAGUGCAGGAGAGGAAGGUAGAAUUCCCGGUGUAGCGGUGAAAUGCGUAGAGAUCGGGAGGAAUACCAGUGGCGAAGGCGGCCUUCUGGACUGACACUGACACUGAGGUGCGAAAGCGUGGGUAGCAAACAGGAUUAGAUACCCUGGUAGUC
RNAcentral lists this ribosomal RNA (465 nucleotides) under Vreelandella stevensii. Its description in RNAcentral is "partial 16S ribosomal RNA". It matches the Rfam family "Bacterial small subunit ribosomal RNA", at positions 338 to 795 of the family's 1533-position model. Lineage: Bacteria; Pseudomonadati; Pseudomonadota; Gammaproteobacteria; Oceanospirillales; Halomonadaceae. The record is from RNAcentral.